This 459-nucleotide ribosomal RNA is filed under the name uncultured bacterium. Its description in RNAcentral is "partial 16S ribosomal RNA". It matches the Rfam family "Bacterial small subunit ribosomal RNA", at positions 338 to 795 of the family's 1533-position model. The record is from RNAcentral.
CCUACGGGGGGCAGCAGUGAGGAAUAUUGGUCAAUGGCCGCAGGGCUGAACCAGUCAAGUCGCGUGAGGGAUGACGGUCCUAUGGAUUGUAAACCUCUUUUGUCAGGGAGCAAAGGGCGCCACGUGUGGCGCUUUGCGAGUACCUGAAGAAAAAGCAUCGGCUAACUCUGUGCCAGCAGCCGCGGUAAUACGGAGGAUGCGAGCGUUAUCCGGAUUUAUUGGGUUUAAAGGGUGCGCAGGCGGAAUGUCAAGUCAGCGGUAAAAUUUCGGGGCUCAACCCCGUCGUGCCGUUGAAACUGGCGUUCUUGAGUGAGCGAGAAGUAUGCGGAAUGCGUGGUGUAGCGGUGAAAUGCAUAGAUAUCACGCAGAACUCCGAUUGCGAAGGCAGCAUACCGGCGCUCAACUGACGCUCAUGCACGAAAGCGUGGGUAUCGAACAGGAUUAGAUACCCCAGUAGUC